This 376-nucleotide long non-coding RNA is filed under the name Suricata suricatta (meerkat). Its description in RNAcentral is "lncRNA (ENSSSUG00005019006.1)". Lineage: Eukaryota; Metazoa; Chordata; Mammalia; Carnivora; Herpestidae. The record is from RNAcentral.
ACAAAUUAGGGAAGUUCUGCAGCCCUCUUAUGAAGCCUAUAUGCCACCUUCUCUCUGAUACCCUGCUUGAUAUGGAUCUGGAAGAGAAGUAAUAAAGAUACUUCUAAACUCCUGUCUUUCUCAUCUAAGAGAAAAAUUGGAGACUGAGAGGUCUUCUCCAUGUCUGGAUAUGUUUCUCUAUCUUCUUUAAGUAUACAGAAACCUGAUAUGGAGGAAGGCGGAAUAUGCUUGAUUCUACCAGGAAUGGUGUGCAUGAGAUGACAGCAGUGGUUGGAGUGGGGAAGAUUAAGGAGAAGAAAUCCUGCUUUCAUGAAUUGAGAAGAAUGAUUUUACAUGUCAAAAUUUUGCCUUAAAUAUUUCACUCCAUGCAGAGGGA